GAAGGUAUAGCUCAAAGUAGUAGAGCACAUGCUUAGCAAGCAAGAGGUCCUGGGUUCAAUCCCUAGUAGCUCCU
This 74-nucleotide transfer RNA is filed under the name Camelus bactrianus (Bactrian camel). It matches the Rfam family "tRNA". From Rfam's summary of the family: Transfer RNA (tRNA) molecules are approximately 80 nucleotides in length. Their secondary structure includes four short double-helical elements and three loops (D, anti-codon, and T loops). Further hydrogen bonds mediate the characteristic L-shaped molecular structure. tRNAs have two regions of fundamental functional importance: the anti-codon, which is responsible for specific mRNA codon recognition, and the 3' end, to which the tRNAs corresponding amino acid is attached (by aminoacyl-tRNA synthetases). tRNAs cope with the degeneracy of the genetic code in two manners: having more than one tRNA (with a specific anti-codon) for a particular amino acid; and 'wobble' base-pairing, i.e. permitting non-standard base-pairing at the 3rd anti-codon position. The record is from Rfam by way of RNAcentral. Lineage: Eukaryota; Metazoa; Chordata; Mammalia; Artiodactyla; Camelidae. RNAcentral also lists the same sequence under 2 other names.